This 514-nucleotide long non-coding RNA is filed under the name Aotus nancymaae (Ma's night monkey). Its description in RNAcentral is "lncRNA (ENSANAG00000038943.1)". Lineage: Eukaryota; Metazoa; Chordata; Mammalia; Primates; Aotidae. The record is from RNAcentral.
UGACACAUCUGUAAGCUGUUUAUAUCUCUCCUCUGCAGAGCGGGUUGGAGAACAGAGAGAAAAGGAUCGAUACUUUAUAAAGUGACCCUUCUCAAAUGGCAUUUGCACUCAAGAAUGGAAGGGUUGAUUUUACAGUGAAGCCAGGGCUGAGAGCCAAGUGAUAUAACCAAAAUAUGAAGGGACAUCACUUCAAUCUUGGUACCUCUUCCUUAAUCAUGAAAUCAUUGUUUUGGGAAGAUACACUGGAUUAAAGUGCAAGUUGGAUUGAGACAUAGGGACUCUGAAGAAAGAACAGAUGUGUGGCUAUUGGAAUGUGACUGAAAAAUAUCUAAACUGUCAGUGACAAUGACAAUGGAAGGCAAGGAAACCUACAGGACCAUUUUAGAUCUGUCGUAGACCGGAUAUGGGAAGAGAAUGACUAGAGGUCAGUAUUUCUCAAAGUCAGUUCGGUCAUUUACAUCUUAAUCACUGGGAUCUUUAUUAAAGUUCAUAUUCUUGGGUUCUCCUUUGGCGC